CCAUCGUCCGGAGCUCCGCCUCCACUCACCCAGCCAACAACUUCUGGGAGUUAUAUCAUCCAUGCAUGCUGCUUAGUCGAGGCCGCCUAAAAAAAAAACACCAUCAAAUUGGCUCUAAUUUCUGGUGAAAUUGUCUGGCAGUAGUAAGGGAAGCUGAUUUGGUCAAGUGGAUUUUCUACUUUCUGGGAUUUUUUUGACACACAACAAAAGAGAGGAGACGAGAUGAGGGACAAGGGGACGGGAAGAGCAUGAAUCUGGGUAUUUGACUGUUAAAGCAUUAGCUGGUAGUCACAACAGUAGGUGGAUUUCACCAUCAUAAAUGUGAAGCUAUUGUCCGUCAGUUUUUGGUAUUGGCAGCAUUGAGAUUUGAGACUGAGUCAGAUCGAAGUGGUUUUCUUUAACUUUGGUAUUCGCAGCACAAGUGUGAGAUUUGGGACUGAGUCAAUUGGAUCGUAAUCGAAAAGAAAGAGCUUUCUGAUGUAUUCUUGGAGGGUGAAAGAAGGAACAGAGGAAAGACCUCUGUGUUGUUUUGAAGAUUUGAUAGUUUAGGUUUGGAUUAGGUGCGAAUGAGAUGAUAUAUUUUUAUUGUUUCUCUUUCUGUCGCGUGAGGACAAAGAGUGGAAGACGAAGAACUAGGAUUUCAUCAAGGUUGACGAAGGCAAGCUGUUCGAUGUAAUCUUGCUUGCAUGGCAGAUCUGUUAGCAAAAGUAAGUGAGAUUUCAUCUUUGUUCUUUUGCGUGAAGACAGAUAGUGAAAGAUAAUGAACGUAUUCUGGAUCUGCUUAGAAGAGGAAGAAGUAGGAUUUCAUCAAAGGUGAUCUUGGUGUGUUUCUCUCUUUGUGAUUGAAUUUAAUUGUCUAAUUUCAGAAUUUGGAUUCCAAGUCUGAUGAAAGUUGAAAGCAGAUAGUGACUUUGCUGUGUUUAUGUUUAAUUAAAAAGUUCCUUAAUACAAUUGAUCGCAGGAGGAACAAUUGAAACCUUGAUAAGAUCUGCAUUAUAAUUAUGCUCAUUCAUAAAUAUAUUAUAAUUAUGUUUCAUAUUGUUUAUUCACAUAAUUAUGUAUUGAGCUUAGUAGUGAUUUAAUAGUCAUUUUGAUGCCGUAUCAUUGAUUUUCUACAAUUUCUCCUUAGUUUCUUGGACUAUUAUUCAUGCUAAGUUGGCU
Molecule: long non-coding RNA, 1161 nt
Organism: Rosa rugosa (rugosa rose)
Lineage: Eukaryota; Viridiplantae; Streptophyta; Magnoliopsida; Rosales; Rosaceae
Exons: 3
Source: RefSeq, a predicted model, not a curated record